This 477-nucleotide ribosomal RNA is filed under the name uncultured bacterium. RNAcentral's name for it is "partial 16S ribosomal RNA". It matches the Rfam family "Bacterial small subunit ribosomal RNA", at positions 30 to 507 of the family's 1533-position model. The record is from RNAcentral.
AUUGAACGCUGGCGGCAUGCCUUACACAUGCAAGUCGAACGGUAACAGGUUAAGCUGACGAGUGGCGAACGGGUGAGUAAUGUAUCGGAACGUGCCCAGUCGUGGGGGAUAACUGCUCGAAAGAGCAGCUAAUACCGCAUACGACCUGAGGGUGAAAGCGGGGGAUCGCAAGACCUCGCGCGAUUGGAGCGGCCGAUAUCAGAUUAGGUAGUUGGUGAGGUAAAGGCUCACCAAGCCGACGAUCUGUAGCUGGUCUGAGAGGACGACCAGCCACACUGGGACUGAGACACGGCCCAGACUCCUACGGGAGGCAGCAGUGGAGAAUUUUGGACAAUGGGCGCAAGCCUGAUCCAGCCAUGCCGCGUGCGGGAAGAAGGCCUUCGGGUUGUAAACCGCUUUUGUCAGGGAAGAAAAGGUUCUGGCUAAUACCUGGGACUCAUGACGGUACCUGAAGAAUAAGCACCGGCUAACUACGUG